This is a long non-coding RNA of Chlorocebus sabaeus (green monkey), 1015 nucleotides long. RefSeq lists it as uncharacterized. The record is from RefSeq and is a predicted model, not a curated record. Lineage: Eukaryota; Metazoa; Chordata; Mammalia; Primates; Cercopithecidae.
UUGGUGGUUGUUGUUCUGAAGAGCAAAGAGAAAGAUAGAAAAACGGCUGGCAUUCAGCCUAAAGAGAAAUCAUUGAAACAAAUUAAUCCUAUGCUGUUUAAAUUGACAUGGUAAUCCAUCAUCAGAGAAGGCAAACUCUGAAAGCAAUCUAGAAUCUGCCCUGCUCUUUCACUGGCCCUGGAGGCACAAAGACAGAUAGUAAAGGAAGGAGGGGGGAAAUCAUAAAAGUUAGGAAUGCCUGAGAAAAUAAUAAAAUUGGUGGUAUCAGCUCUCACUGUCCUGCCUCUGCAAACCUCCUUUGGAAAGGAGAGGUUAACUCUCAACAGUUGCUUUCCCAACUUUCCCCCUAAGUGGUAGGUCUCUGGAGCUGAGCUCUAAAAGUCUGCCUCCUUCUCUAGGCUGCCAGGCUGCUCACCUCAUUCUAACCAUUGCCUGCCGCGUUUAAAAAGUUGACCAGCCAGGAGCUUGGCAGGACCCACAGAAACAGUUCAGUUUGCGCAGAAACUUUCCCAACAUGGGGAGGAGACAUUUUACAGAACAUACCUUUCUCAUUACUGCCUGGACAUACCAACUUGAACACAAAAAGUCCAUCUCCAUGGAGUGUGCUGCGGGUGAUGGAUGAGACUGUUGUCUCUCUGAAUGGAAACCUGCUUUCAUAGGAAGGGUGGAGGUGGGAGAGGACCAGUGAAGGGCAGAGCUCUAAAAUUCUGGCAACUACAGUGAAUAUACCCUUUCCUCCUUUCUUCCUUCUUCCUUUACUCCCUCCCUCCCUCGCUUCCUUUUUGCUACGUCUCCUUUUGGUAGAUUAGUGUAGUUAACCUUCGUUCCGGCCAAGACCAAGAAGGGUUAAUGGAGACCCGGCUCCUGACACCCUCCAGGUCAGCUUGGCUUGCGAACUUCCAGCGCAGGAAUUAGAGGAUUACCGAGGAAGGAAUGCGAGGUACCCGAUAGCCUCACACCUGAACACGGUCGCUUCAAUCCACUGGGAUUCAUUUAAAAAAAUAAAUAAAUUCUC